Molecule: ribosomal RNA, 406 nt
Filed under: uncultured bacterium
Lineage: Bacteria
Description: partial 16S ribosomal RNA
Rfam family: Bacterial small subunit ribosomal RNA
Source: RNAcentral
AUUGAACGCUGGCGGCAGGCCUAACACAUGCAAGUCGAGCGAGUGGCGGACGGGUGAGUAAUGUCUGGGCAACUGCCCGAUGGAGGGGGAUAACUACUGGAAACGGUAGCUAAUACCGCAUACUAUCGGAUGUGCCCAGAUGGGAUUAGCUAGUAGGUGGGGUAAAGGCUCACCAAGGCGACGAUCCCUAGCUGGUCUGAGAGGAUGACCAGCCACACUGGAACUGAGACACGGUGCAGACGCAUACGGGAGGCAGCAGUGGGGAAUAUUGCACAAUGGGGGCAAGCCUGAUGCAGCCAUGCCGCGUGUAUGAAGAAGGCCUUCGGGUUGUAAAGUACUUUCAGCGGGGAGGCGUUACCCGCAGAAGAAGCACCGGCUAACUCCGUGCCAGCAGCCGCGGUAAUUC